Molecule: ribosomal RNA, 253 nt
Filed under: uncultured bacterium
Lineage: Bacteria
Description: partial 16S ribosomal RNA
Rfam family: Bacterial small subunit ribosomal RNA
Source: RNAcentral
UACGUAGGGUGCAAGCGUUGUCCGGAAUUAUUGGGCGUAAAGGGCGCGUAGGCGGCAAUUCAAGUCAUCUGUGAAAUCUCCGGGCUUAACUCGGAACGGUCAGAUGAUACUGCUUUGCUAGAGUGCAGAAGGGGCAAUCGGAAUUCUCGGUGUAGCGGUGAAAUGCUUAGAUAUCGUCAAGAACACCUAUAGCGAAGGCAGCUAACUAAACUUUAACUGACGCUGAGGCACGAAAGUGUGGGGAUCAAACAGG